CCUACGGGAGGCAGCAGCCGCGGUAAUAUUGGACAAUGGGGGCAACCCUGAUCCAGCAAUGUCGCGUGUGUGAAGAAGGCCUUCGGGUUGUAAAGCACUUUAGGUUGGGAGGAAGUUGUGUAUUUUAAGAGAUAGCACAAUUGACUGUACCGACAGAAUAAGCACCGGCUAACUCUGUGCCAGCAGCCGCGGUAAU
This 196-nucleotide ribosomal RNA is filed under the name uncultured bacterium. RNAcentral's name for it is "partial 16S ribosomal RNA". It matches the Rfam family "Bacterial small subunit ribosomal RNA", at positions 338 to 524 of the family's 1533-position model. The record is from RNAcentral.